AACGAACGCUGGCGGCGCGUCUUAAGCAUGCAAGUCGAGCGGCAAGGGGGAGCAAUCCCCCCUAGAGCGGCGGACUGGUGAGUAACACGUGGGUGAUCUACCUCGGGGAUGGGGAUAGCCUGUGGAAACACAGGAUAAUACCGAAUACGUCGGCGGGAUCGCGGUCCCGUCGGGAAAGGCCCGUAUGGGCCGCCUUGAGAUGAGCCUGCGGCUGAUUAGCUUGUUGGCGGGGUAACGGCCCACCAAGGCGAUGAUCAGUAGCCGGACUGAGAGGUUGAACGGCCACAUUGGGACUGAGAUACGGCCCAAACUCCUACGGGAGGCUG
This 326-nucleotide ribosomal RNA is filed under the name uncultured Spirochaetota bacterium. RNAcentral's name for it is "bacterial SSU rRNA". It matches the Rfam family "Bacterial small subunit ribosomal RNA", at positions 28 to 351 of the family's 1533-position model. The record is from RNAcentral. Lineage: Bacteria; Pseudomonadati; Spirochaetota.